AUGUGAAUUGCAGAUUUUCAGUGAAUCAUCGAAUCUUUGAACGCACCUUGCGCCCCUUGGUAUUCCGAGGGGCAUGCCUGUUUGAGUGUCAUU
Molecule: ribosomal RNA, 93 nt
Filed under: Leccinum cyaneobasileucum var. brunneogriseolum
Lineage: Eukaryota; Fungi; Basidiomycota; Agaricomycetes; Boletales; Boletaceae
Description: partial 5.8S ribosomal RNA
Rfam family: 5.8S ribosomal RNA
About the family: 5.8S ribosomal RNA (5.8S rRNA) is a component of the large subunit of the eukaryotic ribosome. It is transcribed by RNA polymerase I as part of the 45S precursor that also contains 18S and 28S rRNA.
Source: RNAcentral